RNAcentral lists this ribosomal RNA (209 nucleotides) under uncultured bacterium. RNAcentral describes it as "partial 16S ribosomal RNA". It matches the Rfam family "Bacterial small subunit ribosomal RNA", at positions 524 to 732 of the family's 1533-position model. The record is from RNAcentral.
UACGUAGGGACCAAGCGUUGUCCGGAAUUAUUGGGCGUAAAGAGCUCGUAGGCGGUCUGUCGCGUCUGCUGUGAAAACUCAGGGCUUAACCCUGAGCUUGCAGUGGGUACGGGCAGACUAGAGUGCGGUAGGGGAGACUGGAAUUCCUGGUGUAGCGGUGAAAUGCGCAGAUAUCAGGAGGAACACCGGUGGCGAAGGCAGAUCUCUGG